This is a non-coding RNA of Ornithorhynchus anatinus (platypus), 72 nucleotides long. The record is from Rfam. NCBI's taxonomy places the organism in Eukaryota, Metazoa, Chordata, Mammalia, Monotremata, Ornithorhynchidae.
AGCAGUGUGGCUCAGUGGAAAGAGCACGGGCUUGGGAGUCAGAGGUCAUGGGUUCGAAUCCUGGCUCUGCCA